This 453-nucleotide ribosomal RNA is filed under the name uncultured bacterium. RNAcentral's name for it is "partial 16S ribosomal RNA". It matches the Rfam family "Bacterial small subunit ribosomal RNA", at positions 29 to 523 of the family's 1533-position model. The record is from RNAcentral.
AACGAACGCUGGCGGCAUGCCUAACACAUGCAAGUCGAACGCCUGCAGCAAUGCAGGAGUGGCAGACGGGUGAGUAACACGUGGGAAUCUACCCAGUCGCUCGGAAUAACCGCGGGAAACUGCGGCUAAUACCGGAUAAGCCCCGAGGGGGAAAGGAGCAAUCCACUAUUGGAGGAGCCCGCGUCUGAUUAGCUAGUUGGUGGGGUAAUGGCCUACCAAGGCGAUGAUCAGUAGCUGGUUUGAGAGAACGACCAGCCACACUGGGACUGAGACACGGCCCAGACUCCUACGGGAGGCAGCAGUGGGGAAUAUUGGACAAUGGGGGAAACCCCGAUCCAGCAAUGCCGCGUGGGUGAUGAAGGCCUUCGGGUUGUAAAGCCCUUUUGUCGGGGACGAUGAUGACGGUACCCGACGAAUAAGCCCCGGCUAACUUCGUGCCAGCAGCCGCCGCAG